RNAcentral lists this transfer RNA (72 nucleotides) under Aneides flavipunctatus (black salamander). Its description in RNAcentral is "partial tRNA-His". It matches the Rfam family "tRNA". Rfam says of the family: Transfer RNA (tRNA) molecules are approximately 80 nucleotides in length. Their secondary structure includes four short double-helical elements and three loops (D, anti-codon, and T loops). Lineage: Eukaryota; Metazoa; Chordata; Amphibia; Caudata; Plethodontidae. The record is from RNAcentral.
GUUUAUAUAAUUUAAAUAAAAUAUUAGACUGUGACUCUAACCAUAAGAGUUAAAAUCUCUCUAUAAAGUGAA